UUUUUUUUUUUUUUUUUUUUGAGAUGGAGUCUUGUUCUGUCCCCAGGCUGGAGUACAGUGGCUCGAUCUCAGCUCACUGCAAGCUCCGCCUCCCGGGUUCACGCCAUUCUCCUGCCUCAGCCUCCCGAGUAGCUAGGACUACAGGCGCCCGCCACCACGCCUGGCUAAUUUUUUUUUUGUAUUUUUAUAGAGACGAGACAGGCUUUCACCAUGUUGCCUGGGCUGGUCUUGCACUCCUGAUCUCAAGUGGUCUGCCCACCUCAGCCUCCCAAAGUGCUGGAAUUGGAGGCGCGAGCCACUGCACCCAGCCCCUGAGUUGAUUCUUCAAAGAGGUGGCCCAGGUAUCCAGCAGGAGUGCAGGGAGGAAAAGAGUUUCAGGCAGAAGGAGGGGAGUGAGCAAAGGCAUGGAGGUGGGACCCUGCCAGUUUGCCCAGAGGGCUGCUAGCCUCUCGGUGCUAGGGAAGGUAAGGGGCCAGGGUGACCCUUUUCAAGUGCAGCUCUGGCCACAUCACUCCUCUGCUAACAGUGCAGUGAGUUCCCUCGCCUGCAGAAGGAGCUUCAGUUCCCCUAAGCUCCAUCAAGAUCUGACUCCCGCUCACCCCUCAUCUUCCCACCUCCCCUGCCCUCUGUGACCAGUCACACUAAUGCACCACUCAGAAUCACUAUUUCCACUCUUCCUGUCCCAAUGCCUGCCCUCUACCUUGAAUGACCACCCUCCCGCUCUCCCGCUUCACCUGGGUAACGCUUUUCAGGACUUAGUUCCAGAGUCCCCAGUCCUGGUCUCCACCUGGGUUAGGUGUCGGCUCUGGGCUCCCACGGCAUCCUCAACAUACCCCACCUGCCAGAGCCCAGGACAGCAGGCGCAUGAUAUUGAUGACCAUACAGUGGCCAGCGAGGUUGUCAGUUCCCUUCCCAAGUGGUUCUCUUGGCCCCUCUCUGUGUCUAGCACCUGAAGGAGAUGUGAAGAGGCGGGGACGGGAAAAUAAACCAGCCCGCAGGGUGCAUGUCACCAUGCCAUCCAAGCCCAGGUCUGAAAACCCAGGUGUGAGCCUUUUCUCUCAGUGUGGCUGGUGACACCUGCAGCGAGAGGGUUCUCCCUGCAUCGCCAUCCUGGCAGAACUUGUGCCAGCCUUUUUGGCCCUUCUGUUUGAGCAGGCAAUUGGUAACACACAUCGGGGUCCCCAGGUUGGUACCUGAACCAACGUCAGCUCUGGCAAUGCCACCUCUCAGAAGAGUGGCCCUGGCUGGAGCAGAGUCGGGGCUGGGGGUCCCUGGACACUCGCUCUGCCCCUAGCUGGCCAGAGUUCCAGAAAACCCACAUCUCACAGUCCACCCUUGACCCUGAGCCCUUUUAUCUGGUGGGUCUAGAACACAGUUUGGGGGAUGACCUCCAUCACAAUCCCUUUCCCUGCUUCACCCCUGCAGCCUGGUGAAUGCCUCCAGGGCAGAGGACAAGUGCAGGGGGCCUCCGUUCCUGCCUGCCCAGUACCCGUGCCCCUCGCCUGCUGCCAGCACAGACUGCCCACCGUGGGGCUCCUGGGUAGAGGACAAGUGUGGGGGCC
This 1562-nucleotide long non-coding RNA is filed under the name Macaca mulatta (Rhesus monkey). Its description in RNAcentral is "lncRNA (ENSMMUG00000054437.1)". Lineage: Eukaryota; Metazoa; Chordata; Mammalia; Primates; Cercopithecidae. The record is from RNAcentral.